GGGGAAUUUUCCGCAAUGGGCGAAAGCCUGACGGAGCAACGCCGCGUGUGGGAAGAAGGCCUUUGGGCUGUCAACCACUUUUCUCAGGGAAGAAGCUCUGACGGUACCUGAGGAAUCAGCCUCGGCUAACUCCGUGCCAGCAGCCGCGGUAAUACGGAGGAGGCAAGCGUUAUUCGGAAUUAUUGGGCGUAAAGCGUCCGCAGGGGGCUCAUCAAGUCUGCUGUCAAAGGUCGGAGCUCAACUCCGGUUCGGCAGUGGAAACUGGUGGGCUAGAGGGCGACAGGGGUAGAGGGAAUUCCCAGUGUAGCGGUGAAAUGCGUAGAGAUUGGGAAGAACACCGGUGGCGAAAGCGCUCUACUGGGUCGCACCUGACCCUCAGGGACGAAAGCUAAGGUAGCGAAAGGGAUUAGAUA
RNAcentral lists this ribosomal RNA (413 nucleotides) under uncultured cyanobacterium. Its description in RNAcentral is "bacterial SSU rRNA". It matches the Rfam family "Bacterial small subunit ribosomal RNA", at positions 356 to 784 of the family's 1533-position model. Lineage: Bacteria; Bacillati; Cyanobacteriota. The record is from RNAcentral.